This is a non-coding RNA of Vicia faba (fava bean), 216 nucleotides long. The record is from the annotation of a GenBank genome assembly. NCBI's taxonomy places the organism in Eukaryota, Viridiplantae, Streptophyta, Magnoliopsida, Fabales, Fabaceae.
AUGAUUAUCCCCGUUCGUUGUUUCACCUGCGGAAAGGUCAUUGGAAACAAAUGGGAUUCAUAUCUCGACUUUCUCCAAGCUGAUUACACUGAAGGAGAUGCACUGGAUGCUUUGGGCCUGGUUCGUUAUUGUUGUAGGCGCAUGCUUAUGACCCAUGUUGACCUUAUUGAGAAGCUACUCAAUUACAAUACUAUGGAAAAGCAUGAUGCCAAUUAA